GGGGAUGUAGCUCAGCGGUAGAGCGCUCGCUUUGCAUGCGAGAGGCCCCGGGUUCAAUCCCCGGCAUCUCCA
This 72-nucleotide transfer RNA is filed under the name Hymenolepis diminuta. It matches the Rfam family "tRNA". From Rfam's summary of the family: Transfer RNA (tRNA) molecules are approximately 80 nucleotides in length. The record is from Rfam by way of RNAcentral. Lineage: Eukaryota; Metazoa; Platyhelminthes; Cestoda; Cyclophyllidea; Hymenolepididae.